RNAcentral lists this ribosomal RNA (329 nucleotides) under uncultured eukaryote. Its description in RNAcentral is "partial 18S ribosomal RNA". It matches the Rfam family "Eukaryotic small subunit ribosomal RNA", at positions 1470 to 1796 of the family's 1831-position model. The record is from RNAcentral.
CCCUUAGAUGUUCUGGGCCGCACGCGCGCUACACUGAUGCAUUCAACGAGUCUAAAACCUGCUCUGAUAGGGGUGGGUAAUCUUUUGAAUGUGCAUCGUGAUUGGGAUAGAUGAUUGCAAUUUUUCAUCUUCAACGAGGAAUGCCUAGUAAACGCAAGUCAUCAGCUUGCAUUUAUUACGUCCCUGCCCUUUGUACACACCGCCCGUCGCUCCUACCGAUUGAAUGAUCCGAUGAAUAUCAUGGAUUGAGGAUGCAAGUAGGUUAGCCUAUCUUCAUCUUCGAGAAGUGAAGUAAAUCUUAUCAUUUAGAGGAAGGAGAAGUCGUAACA